GGUUCAGGACGAACGCUGGCGGCACGCUUAACACAUGCAAGUCGAACGGAGUUAUUGGAGCUUGCCUUGAUAAACUUAGUGGCGGACGGGUGAGUAACACGUGAGCAAUCUGCCCUUAAGAGGGGGAUAGCAGUUGGAAACGACUGAUAAUACCGCAUAAGAUAGUAGUACCGCAUGGUACAGCUAUAAAAGAUUUAUCGCUUAAGGAUGAGCUCGCGUCUGAUUAGCUAGUUGGUGAGGUAACGGCUCACCAAGGCAACGAUCAGUAGCCGGACUGAGAGGUUGGACGGCCACAUUGGGACUGAGACACGGCCCAGACUCCUACGGGAGGCAGCAGUGGGGAAUAUUGCACAAUGGAGGAAACUCUGAUGCAGCGAUGCCGCGUGAGGGAAGAAGGUUUUAGGAUUGUAAACCUCUGUUGACAGGGACGAUAAUGACGGUACCUGUUGAGGAAGCUCCGGCUAACUACGUGCCAGCCGCGGC
This 483-nucleotide ribosomal RNA is filed under the name uncultured bacterium. RNAcentral describes it as "bacterial SSU rRNA". It matches the Rfam family "Bacterial small subunit ribosomal RNA", at positions 21 to 518 of the family's 1533-position model. The record is from RNAcentral.